This 117-nucleotide non-coding RNA is filed under the name Homo sapiens (human). Lineage: Eukaryota; Metazoa; Chordata; Mammalia; Primates; Hominidae. The record is from Rfam by way of RNAcentral.
GCUGGGCGUGGUGGCUCACGCCUGUAAUCCCAGCACUUUGGGAGGCCGAGGUGGGCGGAUCACCUGUGGUCAGGAGUUCAAGACCAGCCUGGUCAACAUGGUGAAAUCCCAUCUCUA